CCUUUGAGGGGGGUGUUAGUUCACAGAUGGGGGAGGGGAGGCCCAGGGAGGUUAAGUAUCUAUUGCCUGCAGUCGGAGGCAGGAAGAGGACCCAGGUGUGCCAGGCACCUACCCUCAGCUGUCAUGCCCACGACCUCUCCCACAUUCAGCCUGUUUAUUGGCCCCGUGGCCCUCACGGGAAGCCUGAGGGCCCCUGGGGCCUGUGCCCACCGCCCUCCCCUGCAGGCCCCAUCUACAUCAUCACCGAGUACUGCCGCUAUGGCGACCUGGUGGACUACCUGCACCGCAACAAGCACAGCUUCCUGCAGCACCACUCGGACAAGCACCGCCCACCCAGUGCUGAGCUCUACAGCAACGCCCUGCCCACGGGGCUCCCUCUGCCCAGGUAGGAGGAGGCAGGCGCCUGCACAGCCCCCUUGCCCUUGCUCCUGCAGGGGGCAGCUGGGGCCCUGGGGAGGGGGCAGAGUCACUCCUGGUGACUCUUUCUCAAGUCAGGACCAUAGACCAUAGACCAGGAAAGGCCAGUAGUGAUGGGGAUAGUGCUGGGCUCUGCUGCCUCCUGCUACCUGCCCCAGUGUGCCAGGCCCUGUGCUCGAGCCCUGUGCUUGAGACCCCUGACCCCACAGCCCUGUGUCCAGGGUGUCGUGGUCUCCUGCCUUAGGGACACUGUGGGC
RNAcentral lists this long non-coding RNA (674 nucleotides) under Marmota monax (woodchuck). The record is from RNAcentral. Lineage: Eukaryota; Metazoa; Chordata; Mammalia; Rodentia; Sciuridae.